UCAAGGGGGUCCAAGUGUCUUAUUAUGGUUCUCAGUUCACCAGUGGAAGAUUCAGAGCUCUUAGAGUGUGCAUCUGGAUUUAAUCAGAAAUUAGGGUUUCAUGGCUACCUGCAACAGGCAAGGUUUGGUUGGAAGUGAAGGGUCUCAUUCAUGUCAUGAUUAUAGAGGCAUCUUGGCCUAAGAAGAUCCACAAUUAUCUCACAAAGAUCCAUUGGCAAUUAGUGCAAUCAGUCCCUGAUCAGUUUUGC
This 248-nucleotide long non-coding RNA is filed under the name Lathyrus oleraceus (garden pea). Its description in RNAcentral is "Pisum sativum (pea) long non-coding RNA (PSAT_LNC017233)". The record is from RNAcentral. Lineage: Eukaryota; Viridiplantae; Streptophyta; Magnoliopsida; Fabales; Fabaceae.